This 181-nucleotide ribosomal RNA is filed under the name uncultured Staphylococcus sp. RNAcentral describes it as "partial 16S ribosomal RNA". It matches the Rfam family "Bacterial small subunit ribosomal RNA", at positions 159 to 334 of the family's 1533-position model. Lineage: Bacteria; Bacillati; Bacillota; Bacilli; Caryophanales; Staphylococcaceae. The record is from RNAcentral.
GGAGCUAAUACCGGAUAAUAUUUUGAACCGCAUGAUUCAAAAGUGAAAGACGGUCUUGCUGUCACUUAUAGAUGGAUCCGCGCUGCAUUAGCUAGUUGGUAAGGUAACGGCUUACCAAGGCAACGAUGCAUAGCCGACCUGAGAGGGUGAUCGGCCACACUGGAACUGAGGCACGGUCCAG